UGGGAAUGCCAAAGUUAGGGUUGCCCUAUUCUUGCCCAAUGGUGGAUGGUGUUUAGACCUUUUAAAAGCUCUAAGGUCACUGCAUAACAUGAGAACUGGGCCCCUGUUCUUCACCCUGAUAAUGAACCAAGUACACAAAUGUAAUGACAAUUUGGAAGGCUUGUGGUUCAUCUAGAACACCCAGCUAUGACCGUGUAUGUGCGCUGCAUGCUAGCUUCCCAAUGGCACAGGUAGCCAGCUUGAGAUUGACUCAGCCUUCCAUCCUUCUAAGAGAAACUCUUGGGAAUAGUGCUCGAGGAGAGAGGACAACAACAAAAUGGAAGAAGACAUGGAAGUUACUAAGACCCAGGUUUUGCAGAAGCUAAUGAUUUUACCAUGACAUGCACAGUUCACUACUUAGAACUUGUUUGGUUCAUCUUCAAAGGCCAGAAUCCAGCAUGAAAUUUGGCAUGCUUGCCCGCUGCCUUUAAAUGGGCUCCUAUGUCUCUGUUAUGGAUUACCAUCCAAAAUGUCUUUCACUUUCACCAUAAAAUGGAGCAGAGUAAAAGAAAAGAAAAUUCAAAGCAUCUGGAGUAGAGAU
Pogona vitticeps (central bearded dragon) is the source of this 580-nucleotide non-coding RNA. Lineage: Eukaryota; Metazoa; Chordata; Lepidosauria; Squamata; Agamidae. The record is from RefSeq and is a predicted model, not a curated record.